GAACUAUUGGGGCAAGAAUAAAAAUCAUGUUGAGGCCAUAAGAAAGGUGACUGAAACUAUAGAGGAGGUCCCUUUCUUGAAGCAAGAGCUCUAAGUAUAUCGGCAAGACAAGGAAGAACUACAAGAAAAGUGCACAGAUAUGCAACAAAAGUAUAUAGAUAUGGAGCAAAAAUACUUAGAGGUGCAGGCUCAGUUUUCUUCUCUCAUGCAGAUUAUACAAGAACUAUGUAAUUCAGCACCCAC
RNAcentral lists this long non-coding RNA (243 nucleotides) under Elaeis guineensis (African oil palm). Its description in RNAcentral is "long non-coding RNA (EGUI_LNC075623)". The record is from RNAcentral. Lineage: Eukaryota; Viridiplantae; Streptophyta; Magnoliopsida; Arecales; Arecaceae.